GUGAGAACCCGUGCGGGCGUGUGUUUAGUCCCACAUCGGUUAUUUGCUGGGUAGAUCUUGGGUACUUAUAUAGGAUCAAAGAACUCAAAUAAAACCUUUCGGUUAGCCAUUUUGGGUGAGGUCCUGGGUUGUUACAAAUGGUAUUAGAGCGGAUCCGGCCCAUAACCUAUGUGGACUAGGGGACACUACAGCACGGAUCCAUUGGGGCUGACCACGGACUGAUCGUGGUACUUGUGAUUAGAUUUGAAUGGAUUUGUACCCUUAGCCUGACGAGGACGUCAGGGCUUGAACGGGAGGAGUAUGUGAGAACUCGUGCAGGCGUGUGUUUAGCCCCACAUCGGUUANNNNNNNNNNNNNNNNNNNNGACCACGGACUGAUCGUGGUACUUGUGAUUAGAUUUGAAUGGAUUUGUACCCUUAGCCUGACGAGGACGUCAGGGCUUGAACGGGAGGAGUAUGUGAGAACUCGUGCAGGCGUGUGUUUAGCCCCACAUCGGUUAUUUGCUGGGUAGAUCUUGGGUACUUAUACAGGAUCAAGGAACUCAAAUAAUACCUUCCGGCUAGCCAUUUUGGGUGAGGUCCUAGGUUGUUACACUAAUGCUCUAGUCGAUGCACAUGUUAAAG
RNAcentral lists this long non-coding RNA (623 nucleotides) under Phoenix dactylifera (date palm). RNAcentral's name for it is "long non-coding RNA (PDAC_LNC004195)". The record is from RNAcentral. Lineage: Eukaryota; Viridiplantae; Streptophyta; Magnoliopsida; Arecales; Arecaceae.